CCUCUUCCUCCUCUGCAGCUGCUGGUAAUGCUGCUGCGCCUGCCGCUCAUGCUUCUGCAGAGAGAGAGAGACACACAUGCGCCACCAUGUAUUCAGCAGUCAUCCAGCUAACCAUUACAAUAGCGCAGUGUUUACACCGUCACGUCCUCUCUAUGUCCCUACAUGUUUCAUUUCUCAAAGGCACUGUUGCUAAAACAUCACUAGGAGAGCAAACCAAGUCAUUCAUCUCUGUAAUGAAAGCUGCAGUGUUGCAGUACACAAUGAUUUCAGGACAGCUGCUGCGACAGAUUCUUUUCUUUCUUUUUUUUUUAAAUAUAUUACAGGACUCUGCAAAUAAUGAGGUGGUGUUUUUUUAGUCCUUAUUCAAACUGCCCAAAAGUUCAACUUCAUCUGUAGCAAAUGCAAGAUUUUAGAUGGAUAUAAAAUGUACCUUGAAGGCCUCCCUUCGCUGAUAUUCCAGUUUAGCCAUCUCCUCUUGGACCCAUGCAGGAAUGUCAGGUAUGGCCACGUGGAUGAUGUACUUCAGGAGGAUAGCAAAGUGCUGUAGACAGAGAGCAAUUAUAGAAAUGAAGAAAAGAAAAUCAAUCCCAGUCAGAAAUCUGAGCACAGUGCUUUCGUGUACGCUUUAGUGUUUGUUUUGUCAUGCCCCGUCUUGUCUUGCCUCCAGCAUGCAGUCAGCUCACCUGCGGCGGGGGCACACCUGCUUCCAAUCCACUCAUCAGCUCAGCCUUUAUAUUCCCUGUUCCUGCAGUCACUCAUCGUCUGAUUGUAACGUUAACUCUCUCUCGCCUAGGAACAGUGUUAGCUGUAGUGUCCACUUAAUGCUUGUUGUUUUGUGUUUUUCACUAACUCCUGUGCUCUCCUGUGUCCAGAGCUCUCUCCCCUGUGCGUGAUGUCACUGACGUUUGGAACUGAUCGCCGCCUCCUCUACCGUCACCUCACCGUGACUGCCAGCACAGAACUGUGGUACCUCGAGGAUGACGAUAGAGAUGAUGGCCAUCUCUGGGCUGAGCCAAGGGAAGAGACGCUGUAGUUGACCACACUGACCAAUCAGGAGUCCUCAUCUGCCACUGACCUGCCACUGGCCGAUGCUCUCCACUCGGACUCCAAAGGGCCUCUGCAGACCAGUGCAGAGCUUAAAGGCAUCGCUGCGGAUCUCAAUGAUGUUGUUGAUGAGAGCACACAUGGCAGCCAGAGGGAAGGCUGAUGAGAAGAGAACCACGUACCCAAACUGGACAAACAUCUCUUGGUAGUCCUGGAAGGUGUCCUGAGGGGGACAAACCGGAUCAUUAGACUACACAAGUACACAGUCUGAAGGCGACUACUUUGCAGAAGCAGCUGACUGACCUGCAGCUCGAUGCAGAUGAGCAUGACCAGGAAGACAAAACAGAGACAGAGGAGACAGAUGGGCAGGCUGACCAGCCACCUGAAC
Solea senegalensis (Senegalese sole) is the source of this 1432-nucleotide long non-coding RNA. RefSeq lists it as uncharacterized. The record is from RefSeq and is a predicted model, not a curated record. The transcript is spliced from 4 exons. NCBI's taxonomy places the organism in Eukaryota, Metazoa, Chordata, Actinopteri, Pleuronectiformes, Soleidae.